RNAcentral lists this ribosomal RNA (483 nucleotides) under uncultured bacterium. Its description in RNAcentral is "partial 16S ribosomal RNA". It matches the Rfam family "Bacterial small subunit ribosomal RNA", at positions 28 to 523 of the family's 1533-position model. The record is from RNAcentral.
GACGAACGCUGGCGGCGUGCUUAACACAUGCAAGUCGAACGGUAAGGCCCCUUCGGGGGUACACGAGUGGCGAACGGGUGAGUAACACGUGAGCAACCUGCCCUUGACUCUGGGAUAACAGUUGGAAACAGCUGCUAAUACCGGAUACGACCUUCGAUGACAUCAUCUGGAGGUGGAAAGCGCUUUAGCGGUCAAGGAUGGGCUCGCGGCCUAUCAGCUUGUUGGUGAGGUAACGGCUCACCAAGGCUUCGACGGGUAGCCGGCAUGAGAGGGGAGCCGGCCACGCAGGGACUAAGAUACGGCCCAGACUCCUACGGGAGGGGGCAGUGGGAAAUAUUGCACAAUGGGCGCAAGCCUGGUGCAGCAACGGCGCGUGCGGGAUGACGGCCUUCGGGUAGUAAACCGCUUUCAGUUCCGACGAAGGGCAAGUGACGGUAGGAACAGAAGAAGGACCGGCCAACUACGUGCCAGCCGCCGCCGUAA